GUUUUAUUAAAGCACGGUCCUGGAAGUCAAAACACAUGGAAGCAGCAAGCAAGGAGCAGCUCUGCCUGGCAUUGCACCUGCAAUAGGAAAUGAAGUUUGCAACUGCCUUGCACCCCUUUGCAUCAGCCAUAGAGCCCAGCCAUAAUGGACCUCACAGGAAAAGCAGAGCAGUGACACUAGAAAAGAUAAAGGAGAGAAAUACAGAAGUCAGUUCUAUGUUCUGUGGCUGGAGGAAGUGGAGAAGAGAAAGCAAACUCUGGCUCAUCAGCUAUACUGGGCAAACCAGCAAGACCAGCAGUGGUCAAGACGAGGCUCCUGUCACUCCUCUGCACUCCCAGUUUGUCAGUCACAGAGGACACCCUCUGAAGCUUAUUCUUGAAAGUUCCUGACUUCAUGUUCACCCUACUUUGUCAUCUCUUUUACAGAUUCAUCACUCUCU
Molecule: long non-coding RNA, 439 nt
Filed under: Cyanistes caeruleus (blue tit)
Lineage: Eukaryota; Metazoa; Chordata; Aves; Passeriformes; Paridae
Description: lncRNA (ENSCCEG00000020409.1)
Source: RNAcentral